UAGAGUUUGAUCCUGGCUCAGGAUGAACGCUAGCUACAGGCUUAACACAUGCAAGUCGAGGGGCAUCAUGGAGUUUGCUUGCAAACUCUGAUGGCGACCGGCGCACGGGUGAGUAACGCGUAUCCAACCUUCCCUAUAGUAGAGGAUAGCCCGGCGAAAGUCGGAUUGAUACUCUAUGUUUUCCGUUGCAGACAUCUAAGAUGGAACAAAGGCUUGCCGCUAUAGGAUGGGGAUGCGUCUGAUUAGGUAGUCGGCGGGGUAACGGCCCAUCGAGCCAUCGAUCAGUAGGGGUUCUGAGAGGAAGGUCCCCCACAUUGGAACUGAGACACGGUCCAAACUCCUACGGGAGGCAGCAGUGAGGAAUAUUGGUCAAUGGGCGAGAGCCUGAACCAGCCAAGUAGCGUGCAGGACGACGGCCCUAUGGGUUGUAAACUGCUUUUAUGCGGGGAUAAAGUUCACUACGUGUAGUGUUUUGUAGGUACCGCAUGAAUAAGGACCGGCUAAUUCCGUGCCAGCAGCCGCGGUAAUACGGAAGGUCCGGGCGUUAUCCGGAUUUAUUGGGUUUAAAGGGAGCGCAGGCGGAGGAUUAAGCGUGACGUGAAAUGUCCCGGCUCAACCGUGGAACUGCGUCGCGAACUGGUUUUCUUGAGUGAGUGCGACGUCGGCGGAAUUCGUGGUGGUACCGGUGAAAAUGCUUUAAAUAUCACGAAGAACCCAGAUUGCGAAAGGCAGCCGACGAGUCCUUAACUGACGCUAAAGCUCGAAAGUGCGGGUAUCGAACAGGAUUAGAUACCCUGGUAGUCCGCACGGUAAACGAUGGAUGC
RNAcentral lists this ribosomal RNA (824 nucleotides) under uncultured bacterium. Its description in RNAcentral is "bacterial SSU rRNA". It matches the Rfam family "Bacterial small subunit ribosomal RNA", at positions 1 to 816 of the family's 1533-position model. The record is from RNAcentral.